This 523-nucleotide ribosomal RNA is filed under the name uncultured bacterium. RNAcentral describes it as "bacterial SSU rRNA". It matches the Rfam family "Bacterial small subunit ribosomal RNA", at positions 8 to 526 of the family's 1533-position model. The record is from RNAcentral.
AGAGUUUGAUCCUGGCUCAGGAUCAACGCUGGCGGCGUGCAUGAGACAUGCAAGUCAUACGGACGAUCAAAGCUUGCUUUGUUCGUUAGUGGCGGACGGCUGAGUAACGCGUGGGUGACCUGCCCCGAAGUGGGGAAUAACUGCCCGAAAGGGUGGCUAAUACCGCAUGUGGUGGUGUAUUCGAUUACACCAGUAAAGCCGCAAGGCGCUUCGGGAGGGGCCUGCGUCCGAUUAGCUCGUUGGCGAGGUAACGGCUCACCAAGGCGACGAUCGGUAGGUGGUCUGAGAGGACGAUCACCCAGACUGGGACUGAGACACGGCCCAGACUCCUACGGGAGGCAGCAGUCGGGAAUUUUUCACAAUGGGCGCAAGCCUGAUGGAGCGACGCCGCGUGGGGGAUGAAUGGCUUCGGCCCGUAAACCCCUGUCAUUUGCGAACAAGUUGGUUCAAUUAACACCUGAACCAUUGAUAGUAGCGAAAGAGGAAGGGACGGCUAACUCUGUGCCAGCAGCCGCGGUAAUAC